CCGACCUUAGCUCAGUUGGAAGAGCGCGAGACUGUAAUGGAUGACUAUCUUGAGGUCGCCUGUUCGAGCCAGGCAGGUCGGA
RNAcentral lists this transfer RNA (82 nucleotides) under Amanita muscaria Koide BX008. It matches the Rfam family "tRNA". From Rfam's summary of the family: Transfer RNA (tRNA) molecules are approximately 80 nucleotides in length. Their secondary structure includes four short double-helical elements and three loops (D, anti-codon, and T loops). Further hydrogen bonds mediate the characteristic L-shaped molecular structure. tRNAs have two regions of fundamental functional importance: the anti-codon, which is responsible for specific mRNA codon recognition, and the 3' end, to which the tRNAs corresponding amino acid is attached (by aminoacyl-tRNA synthetases). tRNAs cope with the degeneracy of the genetic code in two manners: having more than one tRNA (with a specific anti-codon) for a particular amino acid; and 'wobble' base-pairing, i.e. permitting non-standard base-pairing at the 3rd anti-codon position. The record is from Rfam by way of RNAcentral. Lineage: Eukaryota; Fungi; Basidiomycota; Agaricomycetes; Agaricales; Amanitaceae.